UGCAGUCGAACGAACUCUUCGGAGUUAGUGGCAGACGGGUGAGUAACGCGUGGGAACCUACCUUUAGGUACGGAACAACAGUUGGAAACGACUGCUAAUACCGUAUGUGCCCUAUGGGGGAAAGAUUUAUCGCCUAAGGAUGGGCCCGCGUUGGAUUAGCUAGUUGGUGGGGUAAAGGCCUACCAAGGCGACGAUCCAUAGCUGGUCUGAGAGGAUGAUCAGCCACACUGGGACUGAGACACGGCCCAGACUCCUACGGGAGGCAGCAGUGGGGAAUAUUGGACAAUGGGCGCAAGCCUGAUCCAGCCAUGCCGCGUGAGUGAUGAAGGCCCUAGGGUUGUAAAGCUCUUUCAGCGAGGAGGAUAAUGACGUUACUCGCAGAAGAAGCCCCGGCUAACUUCGUGCCAGCAGCCGCGGUAAUACGAAGGGGGCUAGCGUUGUUCGGAAUCACUGGGCGUAAAGCGCACGUAGGCGGACUUUUAAGUCAGGGGUGAAAUCCCGGGGCUCAACCCCGGAACUGCCUUUGAUACUGGAAGUCUUGAGUCCGAGAGAGGUGAGUGGAACUCCGAGUGUAGAGGUGAAAUUCGUA
This 589-nucleotide ribosomal RNA is filed under the name Labrenzia sp. AU133B_Ted2_SNAX. Its description in RNAcentral is "bacterial SSU rRNA". It matches the Rfam family "Bacterial small subunit ribosomal RNA", at positions 56 to 692 of the family's 1533-position model. Lineage: Bacteria; Pseudomonadati; Pseudomonadota; Alphaproteobacteria; Hyphomicrobiales; Stappiaceae. The record is from RNAcentral.